GCCCCCCUCAAGAUGAGAUUUCCCAGUAUGUAAGACCCCUUGAAGACGACGAGGUAGAUAGGCUGGGGGUGGAAGUGCAGCAAUGCAUGGAGCUGACCAGUACUAAUCGGUCGAGGGCUUAUCCUA
This 126-nucleotide ribosomal RNA is filed under the name Paenibacillus zeirhizosphaerae. Its description in RNAcentral is "partial 23S ribosomal RNA". It matches the Rfam family "Bacterial large subunit ribosomal RNA", at positions 2792 to 2925 of the family's 2925-position model. Lineage: Bacteria; Bacillati; Bacillota; Bacilli; Caryophanales; Paenibacillaceae. The record is from RNAcentral.